RNAcentral lists this unclassified non-coding RNA (356 nucleotides) under Hevea brasiliensis (rubber tree). The record is from RNAcentral. Lineage: Eukaryota; Viridiplantae; Streptophyta; Magnoliopsida; Malpighiales; Euphorbiaceae.
ACUGACAAAGGGGAGGCUGAAGAAUUGGCAGAAGUUGAAGCAAAAUUGGAUGCUGAUUGGAAAGCUAACACAGGAAUAACCAAAGAGGAUGUCAAGGCUGAUGAUGAAUUGAAGAAGCAGAGGCGAACGUUUCUUGCACAGUUCUUCUCACCUAUAUUCUUGAAGGCAUUUUCCAUCACAUUCUUUGGUGAAUGGGGUGACAAGAGCCAGAUAGCUACCAUCGGCUUGGCUGCAGAUGAGAACCCAUUUGGCGUUGUACUUGGUGGAAUCGUAGGACAGGCACUCUGUACUACUGCUGCUGUUGUCGGAGGAAAAAGCUUGGCAUCUCAAAUAUCUGAGAAAAUAGUUGCCCUGUC